This 292-nucleotide ribosomal RNA is filed under the name uncultured bacterium. Its description in RNAcentral is "partial 16S ribosomal RNA". It matches the Rfam family "Bacterial small subunit ribosomal RNA", at positions 505 to 796 of the family's 1533-position model. The record is from RNAcentral.
GUGUCAGCAGCCGCGGUAAUACGUAGGGGGCAAGCGUUGUCCGGAGUUACUGGGCGUAAAGGGCGCGCAGGCGGUUGGGUAAGUUUGGGGUGACAGUGCGAGGCUUAACUUCGCAAGGCCCUCGAAAACUGCUCAACUUGAGGACCAGAGAGGGACACAGAAUUCCGGGUGGAGUGGUGAAAUGCGUAGAUAUCCGGAGGAAUACCAAAGGCGAAGGCAGUGUCCUGGCUGGUAACUGACGCUCAGGCGCGAAAGCUAGGGGAGCGAACAGGAUUAGAUACCCCGGUAGUCC